Molecule: RNA transcript, 4678 nt
Organism: Ostrea edulis (European flat oyster)
Lineage: Eukaryota; Metazoa; Mollusca; Bivalvia; Ostreida; Ostreidae
Exons: 9
Source: RefSeq, a predicted model, not a curated record
AUCAAAAUUCUACACUUAUAAACUUCCUAUGCUUCUACUUCAACACUACAGAAUACAUCAGAGCUUUUUUUUUUUUUAAAUCUUUACGGUUCAAUGCAAACCGGUCAUCAUGCCAUAACAGAACAUCAAUCACAAUGAUUUUGAGCAAAUAAACUUGCCAGUCAGAAACCACUUUGAGCCAAGUGUCCAAAUAUCCGAUUAUGCGUUUACACGCGUGUUCUGGUGUAAACAUUAUGCAGAUCCUCGGGAAAGAUAUAUUUAAAAUAUUUCCCGUUUGUUGAAAAUGCUUCAUCAUCUAAGCAUCUACAUGUAUCUGUUGGUUUCCAUGUUUAGCUGUCUUUUUCUUCAAGGAUUUUCGUUAACUAAUAAAGGAGACUGCCCAGAGAGUACUGUGGAGAGUCCAUGUUGUUACAACUUCCGGUUGGAAGACGAUAAAUGUAUCAAAUGCUCUCCAGGAUAUUUCGGAAUCGACUGUAUGUUGACAUGCCCCGAUGGACAGUACGGACAUUCCUGCCUACAAAGGUGCACUACCUGCAAAAGAACCGAUUGUCAUCAUGUUUAUGGCUGCAAUACAACAGAAUCUUCAACCUUAAUAUUAUCUUCCAUAAAAAUCCAGACAACAACGUUUACACGGGAGAAGAUUGACAUUUCUAGUGUAAACCUUACGCAGUCCAGCCUAAUAACUACUACAUCGGUGAUGGGUGAGAAAAAUAACACAAACAGUAUUAUUCUUGCAGUGGGCUGUGGCAUAACAUUAUGUUUAGUAAUUAAUAUCAUUCAAAGCGUAUAUAAGCAAAUCUUGGAAUCCAAAUGGAAAAGACGCUCGACUGUCAAACAGGAAGAAAUGGCUGAAAUAUACACCGAAAUUGAUGACGGCAGACAUAAUGUAAAUAGACGCAAAGAAAAAGCUAGUAAAGACGUACGGAAAGCCACAGGGGACCCCCAGGUCAUGUUCUAUAUAUUUCAUUGUACAUCAAUCCAGGCCGGCCAGGAUAUAUUCUCCUGGCCAAGUCAGGAUUGCAAACAUGACCAGCCAUGAUUUUCAAUCCUGGCACAUCUUAUCCUGGCCGGUCGGGUUGUGAUUUCAAUCCUGGCCAAUAAAAUGGUUAUCCAAUCCUGACCAAGUCAAGAUAGACAAUCUGGCCAUACACUCCUGGUCACGGUCAUGGUUUCAAACAUGACCAAAUCAGGAUUGAUAACCUGAACAUCCAAUUCUGGUCAGUCAUGAUUUUUAAUCCUGGCCAAGUCAGGAUUGAUAAUCUGACCAUUCAAUCUUGGUCAGUCAUGAUUUUCAAUCCUGGCCAAGUCAGGAUUGCAUUGCGCCAGGAUGUAUGACUUCCAAACACAGUCAAGAUUUAUUCAGGCGUCAAUCCUGAUCGGGCAGGAUUGCAUUGGGCCAUGACAUAUUACUUUCAAACGCAGUCAAGAUUCGUUUUAGUAUGAUAAUAUGUAGAUAGGAUGUAAGCGCUUCACUCACACCAAAAGCCCGCUAAAAUCCCGCUGCAGACCGUUCGCCUCAGCUGACACGUACAGUAAGUACAGAUGUUUUUCCCAUAUAGAACUUUAUGAAUAUCUCCGUUUGCUAUUUUACACAUGUACAUUGCUUCAUAUUUCGUUAGAAUAAAUUGUACGAACAUCAUUCCCGACAACCAAAGGCAUUCUGCAGUUCUCAUCGAGGAAAUUCGGAUUUAUCCAUUCAGACACUACCAAGCACCAAGUCACAGCAAUAUGUGUAUUGAACCAUCAAGAAAGCUGCAAAUACAGAGACUGGUUUUAGACCUGUUGCUGUCUUUUUCUUCAAGGAAUUUCGCAAACUAAUAAAGGAGACUGCUCAGAGAGUACUGUGGAGAGUCCAUGUUGUUACAACUUCCGGCUGAAAGACGAUAAAUGUAUCAGUUUUCGAAGGAAUGUCUGAGGCAAAAGAGGUGGACAAUUUUUGUCAGCGCCAGGACUUUGCCAUAAAAAAGCCCUAGUUGCCUUUUUCUACGUACCUUUUCUAAAGGCAGUUGGACAGAGACGCAGAAAACUGUGAAAACAAUUGUUAUAUCGAAGCUAAGCACUGUUAUGCCUACAACAUAUGUAUUUUGUUCUGGUCUUCAAUACACACUCUCGGCAACUGACCUUCACCUUAUAACAACAUAUAACUAGUGAUCCCAGUGUCUACCAAAAAAAAAAAAGAUCGAAGACAUUUGAACUUUCAAUUAUGAAUAAUAAAAUAUUGUAUUUCUUACCUUAAGUUGUAUUAUAAUGCUCUCCCUUUUUUAUUGAGCUUCGUAACAUCAAGUAAAGUAUAACACCGUGCUCCCACUUCUUAACCACGUAUAGAUCACAAUUCAAAAAUAAUAAUAAUGAAAGGUGAAGAUAACGAACAGUGAUCAAUCUCAUAACUCGUAUAAGCAAUACAAAAUAGAGAGUUGGGCAAACACGGACCCCUGGACACACCAGAAGUGGGAUCUGGUGUCUAGGAGGAGUAAGCAUCCCAUAAUUUGUCAAAUCCAAAAAAUUAAUAAUAAUUGCACUCUUUCUAUGUAAAUAAAAUCAACGUCAAUUACAACUGUUAAAUUAAAGGAAUACCAUUACCAAAUAGUGUUUAGACAGUGACCCAUGUAAAUAUUUACUUGCAAUUGCCGAUUUCACACUCAUUUGGGUAUUUACAUCCCUAUUUGCAUGCACUGGUAGGUGAAAUAUAACAUUCGGGAAAUUUGUCAACAUCGAAAUAAAUGUAUGUGGUGAAUGAAUUAGGCCCCUUAAAGCUGAGGUUUUAAAACUAUUUAACACUAUUUUCACUAUCAGUUGAUCGAAGAAGGUCGCAUAUGACGUCGCUAUCACGUGACUAUACCUAACUAAAUAACGAGUUGAUAUCGGGGCUUAGAUUUAAAUCCGUAUUGCGGAUAAUUAUUGCAAUAUUUCGGCGAACGAACUAUUAGAAUUAAGAUUACUAUAAGCAUAAGAAAGACAACAUGCAUAUGAUUUUGUAUACUUUGGAAACAUGCGAUGUGUCCUUUAAUGGUAAGAGUAAAACGCAACUGCAUACUAAUCAAGCUAAUGAGGCAAUAAUCAAGCUACAAUCAAGAUACAAUAAUUAAACUACCUGUACCGAGGGAAAGGAUAUUUCAUCUUUUGCGUGACUUGUGACUUUCACUUUUAAUGCUAGGUGCUUAGGUAAAGAACAAUCACUGCCUAUAUUUAACGAUUAUUGAUCCCGGCUAGCAUGAAUGGUGAACAUAGCGAUCUUAUAACUCCUAUAGGUAGUGAUAUGUAGUGGAUAUUCCUUCACACAGCGCCCGGCAUUAGAAGUAAAGAUCACGAGUAUCUCGGAUAUGACCUUAACGGAAGUCCUACUUAAUCUCUUACGCAACCACGAGAUUGAGAAUCGAACCUGGGCCUCUAGGUUGCGAAUUAAGUGCCCUAACCACUGGGCUAGUACUGUAUCGCAACAGGUAGCGCAGGUAAUGGAACAAUCGUCAACCAAUAUAUUCCGUACAAUCCAAUAUUACAGAACAAUAAAAUAUAAACACAGGGUACAGGUAGUGUAAUACAAGAUAAACCUAAAUAUUCACCAUUAAUACGUAAGCAUUCGUUAUGAAUGGGUUUACUGUAUAUAAAAUGUAAUUAUAUCCCAUUGUCUACUUAGAAUGCUCUCCAGGAUAUUUCGGAAUCGACUGUAUGUUGACAUGCCCCGGUGGACGGUACGGACAUUCCUGCCUACAAAGGUGCACUACAUGCAAAACAACCGAUUGUCAUCAUGUUUAUGGCUGCAAUACAACAGAAUCUUCAACCUUAAUAUUAUCUUCCAUAAAAAUCCAGACAACUUUAUUACCGUUUACACGGGAGAAGAUUGACAUUUCUAGUGUAAGCCUUACACAGUCCAGCCUAAUAACUACUACAUCGGCGAUGGUUGAGAAAAAUAUGUCUAACAAUAUUAUUUUAGUAGUGGGCUGUGCCAUAACAUUAUGUUUAGUAAUUAUUAUCAUUCAAGGUGUACAUAAACAAAUCUUGAAAUCCAAACGGAAAGGACGCUCGACUGUCAAACAGGAAGAAAUGGCUGAAAUAUACUCCGAAAUUGAGGACAGAGCUUUCGUCGGCAGGCCUAAUGUCGUAAAUAGACAUGAAGAGAAAUCUACAAAUGACAGGAAUAAAUACAAUGUAUUGAUAAAUUGUGAAUAAAAGUUACCUGGACGCGGAUAUCAGGAAAUCAAUGAAAUCCCAGAAAUAUCUGAUAGGGCCGACGUGAAAUCCCAAGGAGCCACCGAUUCUGACAGUAACGGGGAAUCCUAUUUAGAGCCGAAUGAACAAGGAUCCGCCCACACCUAUACCAAGGUCAUAGAUUCUGAUGACGAACGAACCAGUCCCUCUUCAACAGUUGGAUGUGAAAACUAUUUGGACCCUGUACUUGAAGUAACUCCGCGAAUGCCUGCACAUUUGUGUAAGCCUGUUCUGUCUGAUUCCAGCGAAAACUCUGAACAGUAUCAGGACACAGCCUUGCCCCUUGGCUAUGGGCGAGGAAGUCGGAAUGACCAAAAUGGACAUACUUCCGACAGAGCAAACGUGUUAUACCUUGAUGUAACUUACUCUUGACAAAUUUUGAAAAGCGAUAUCAUCGCCUCAUGCUUAGUUUUAUCAUAUUCAAUUCGAUGUACAUUGUAGACAUUGUAGAUAUAUUGUAUAUUAUAAACUC